CCAACACUCAGAAGCACACUCAGGCUUUGCCAGCCUUUGUCUAGGCUCUUACACCUCCAGGAGAUGGAAGCACACCUUCAUCCUCCAGGUUAGACAAAGGUUCCUUACAGGCAAUGCUCAGCCCUCCAGCAGAAAGCACUAAAAGCCCAGCUCCUCUCCAGCCCAAAUCCCAGAAUAGUCACCCAGCCCCCUGAACAUACCAGCACCUCUCCACUAGGAAACCCAAACCAGCCCCCACCCCCUUGGGUGCCCUCUAUAGCCAGCAAUAAUAGCUAACAGCAAUCACAUGGGGGCCCACCUGCCUAAAUGAAAGCUUUGACCACCUGAUUCCCAUAGGUCUGGCGAGGGAUUUAGAAUGAAAAUAUCAUCAAGUUUGGAAAAGACCACUAAGAUAAUCCAGUCCAACCCCAAUCCAGCCCUGCCAUGCUCACUGACUACGUCCCUCAGUGCCUCAUCUCUGCAGACUUGAACACCUCCAGGGACAGUGACUUCCCACCACCCUGAGCAGCUGUGCCACUUGGAGAAGAAAUUUUUCCUAGUGUCCCACCUGAACCUCCUCUGGUGCAACUGGAGAACAAUAAUCUUACAGAACCAGGCAGAAAUCCUGCUGGGUUACACUCCUGCCACCUAUUCUUCCUUGUGUCAUGGGUUGUUACUUAUUCUCCAAGAGGCUUUAAUGUCGGUCAGCCUGUUAUGUGCCAUUUGUUUAACACAGAGGUUACUGUGAAUGUUCUUUUUGAUACUAUCAGCUGUGAUUCUAAUGCUUCAAGAUAGCAUCAAAUUAUCUAAUGUUAAGUAAACAAACCCAAGAGUGCCGUAAAAAAAUAAUGGUUUGGAGGAAUGUCUUUUAGUUUCUAUGUUUUGCCUUUCUAGGGCAAAAUUAUAAGCAAAAGUUGAGAGCUGGAGCAGAAUUUAAAAUAAAAGCUGAGCUUUUAAAUACUGGGAAUGGAUGUCCCGGGGCUCAAAAAAGAUCCUUGAAUACUUGAAGACAGAACAGCUUUACAAGAACCAGCUGUGCUGAAACCAUUCACCUCACUUUUUACACACGAGGUGCAGAGAGACAAAUGCCCGGUGCGAUGUCAGCAUCCACACACCACAGGUGCUCUUUCCAAAAGUGGAGCACUAAAUGCCAGCAAAGCACUGGCUGGGUGCUGCCAAGGUAAAAGAGUCAGGCUUCAUUUGGGGCAAGGGAGGCAGGAGCUCGACCACCCUUCCCCCCAGCCCUUGGCUUUAGCUGUGCCAAGGCCAGGCUGCUCUAUCAUUACGAUAAGGGUAAUCCUGUUAGGCAAACACAUCAAACAAAUAAUCAUUCAUGAUUGCAGACUUUGUCUAGGCAAAUGUAACCCCAGGAUAAAAAUGUGCUGAGCGCACAGUCC
Molecule: long non-coding RNA, 1376 nt
Filed under: Phasianus colchicus (ring-necked pheasant)
Lineage: Eukaryota; Metazoa; Chordata; Aves; Galliformes; Phasianidae
Description: lncRNA (ENSPCLG00000005271.1)
Source: RNAcentral